GUGGCAUGGGAGCCUUGAGGAUUCUAUAAAAGGAGCCUCAAGGCUCCUACUGAAUUACGAAGUCCCAUUUCUUGAUGGGCAUGCAAUGAGCCAGCAAACUGGCUCGUGCACUCACGGAGCCGAAAUUUUUCGGCUCCACAGCAAUAAAUUUUUUUGAAUACUGUAUUGGAGUACCUUCACUUGCGACGACGACGACACCUUGCUCUCUCUGUCUAGGAUUUCAUCUUCUCUCUCAAGUCAGCAAUAUGGAGUGUAUCUGGUGAUGGUGGCUUCAGUACUUGAAUCUCCCUUUAUUCUCCUCAGGGAGGAUUGCAGAUCUCUCAGUUGUUCCUUCAACUGAGAGACACUAUCUCUUGCUAGACCACCAAUAUCCAGAAGCCUCACCGAUUUCUCCAAUAAGCCAUCAAUCCACUUCUUGUUUUGAUUUUGAGAGAGGGCUUGAAGGGUUUGUGGCAAGUUUAGAAGACCAUCCAUACACUUGUAAAGCUGUUCUAAUCCAAGAAGACCACUGCUGAUUGUAGCGGCUUCUGGAGUGGCUGAGACUUGUAGUGUUUUGAGCUUUGUCAGCUCUUCUUCUACUUUCUGAAGGUUUGGGUGUGAUCUGCUGGGAAAGCUAAUAGAUCGGAGGUGGUUGGUUUUUGCCAUUGUUAUAUUUUCUAUCUUUGUUACAGGAAAGUAAACUCAAGCUUGUGCUGGCUAGAAUAAGCUCUAGUCUUGGUUAUAUAUUGGCAGAUAGGAAGGCUUGGAUCAAUUGAUGCUGAUCUCCCUUCGACUGCAUUAACAAAAAGCUGAAAGAAUGGAAUAUAAAACCUCAUAACCAUGAAUGGAUGCAAGAGAGUUGUGAUUAAUUAAUGGUAGUACACGCACUGCUUGUUGGCAUUUUUCCCUACUACAUUAUUCACAAUUUGCUAUAUAGAAGGAGACAUGGCUGACAUUAGCCUGGUUGUAAGAAUCAGAUCACCGUGUGGUUUCAGCAUUCAAAUUUCUUUAAUAUUUGCAAAUGGGUUCUGCAUUUUAGUUUUUCCAACAAGACUCAUAAUACUUCUUCCUAUUUCUUUAAUCCUCAGAGUAACAGAAUGAUUAGUAGGUGUUUACUGUAAUGCUAUUUAUUAUAUCAACAUUGAGUUGGAAAAGAUUUGUUUCCUCCUGCCUGCCAGGCAUCAGAAGGUUUAUGCCUAAUGACAACUUUGCCCCAUCCAUUACAGAAAGUGAACAUAACCAAGACAAUUUUGUUUUACUGACAACGUAAAAUAGUAAUUAUCAUAGAAAACCAGUGAAUUUCUUUCAAUACUAAACUUUUCGUUAUUGCAAACAUUCCAAACAAGUUUAAGUAACAGUUGUGGAAAGUUAUCUCUAAACACAAUGUUCCUUAACUUAUUAUGCUUGCCUGGAAACAUGUGAUGAGAACAAUAGUUUUGGGAAUGAUCUUAUUAUUGAUCAAUCCAUGAUGUUUGAAGUACAGGAAGAUCUGUAUUUAUAAGGAUACAAAGAAGUCCCAAACAGGAUAGAAAUGGUAAAUGAUAAUAUUCCCAAUAAUAUAGGGGGAGGGAGAAGGAAUUCUAGUGUGCCUAGAAUACAGAGUCUUAAUAACAUGAACCAUGCUACACUGAUUGGAUAAUGUAAAUAUAUAUGAUUUGUACACAAGUGCAUAUGUGUAUGUUAUUAUCAUGAUGCAAAAAUUGAUCUCAACACAUUAUAGAUGCCCAAGGUCAUGAAAAGAGCAAAGGUGGUGAUGAGUCUUGUGACUUUCAUCCUAGUUAACCUGCAUGACUUCUGGCUUGUAAUUUUACCUUUUGGCUUAGCGGGAAUGGUUAACACUUUACAGAGGCGAGACGAAUGAUAUCUGAAAUAAACCCAGGACAAUUUAUGGGAAAAUCUCAUUAGAGAAUAAAGCUAAAAAGAAAAUAUCAUAGUUGCUUUGUAUGAUCACCCAGAACAUGAAUCAUGCUAUACUGAAUAGAUCUGAUUGCAAAUACAGAUGCUUAAAGCAUGAUGCGAAGAUAUGAUAUGUAUCAAACUGCAUGAAUGGCUCAUUAUAUUGAUGCUCUC
This is a long non-coding RNA of Ipomoea triloba (trilobed morning glory), 2049 nucleotides long. RefSeq lists it as uncharacterized. The transcript is spliced from 4 exons. The record is from RefSeq and is a predicted model, not a curated record. NCBI's taxonomy places the organism in Eukaryota, Viridiplantae, Streptophyta, Magnoliopsida, Solanales, Convolvulaceae.